This is a long non-coding RNA of Ostrea edulis (European flat oyster), 963 nucleotides long. RefSeq lists it as uncharacterized. NCBI's taxonomy places the organism in Eukaryota, Metazoa, Mollusca, Bivalvia, Ostreida, Ostreidae. The record is from RefSeq and is a predicted model, not a curated record. The transcript has 3 exons.
UCGAUUUCACGACAAUGAUUGAUGACAAUACGCAAAUUUGUAAGGUAACAUAUAUUUAAUAUGAUAUAUUGCAAAUGACGGGAAAUUGCCAUCAGAGUGUGAAGCUAAGAAGAUAUUCUAGGCAUAAUUCCCUUUACCUGAUCAAGAUAGAGGGCUCAUGGCAGAUGCGACCGAUCGACAGGGGAUCCAGACUCCUCCAAGGCACCUACCCCCAUAUCUGGAGUUAUGAGAUUGAUCACUGUUCGUUAUCUUCACCUUGCACUGGUGACAUAUCAAGGAAUCUGAGGUAUUGAGCGUAUGUCUAUAUACUUGGAGUACUUCAACAUCGCCAGCGUAGUAAAGUAACUUGAGUUUAAUGUUAUAUAGUUCCGAUAUGCACGAGAGGAAAUUGCUUUGCUGCAUUCAGGGUGUCAAUAUGUACAUUUUCCCCGAAAUAGGUAUCGGAACGUGAAAUUAAUUUCCCUUUGGCCUAUAUGGUAAAUUAUUAACAUGCACUAUUUCUUUUUUUAAUCGAUUCUUCAACCUUGGAUAACUAAUCUCAUUAUUUAGUAAUUACAAACAUGCAGAUCGACACUGGCAGAAAGUUCGAAACCAAGGGUAAGAGACUAGGGUACUCAGUUACAUGUUAAACCUAUGAUAAGAAAAUUUGUUCUUAAUUGUGGCUCUUAAAGGAUGAUAUAAUCAAAACGCAUGGGUUUUUAUUAAACCUUUUUGGGGUUCUCUUUAUGGCACUUUCUCGUUCCUUCACAUUCACAUUAAGAAUUAAGAUGCAUUUUCAUCACUGUUCGUUAUCUUCACCUUGCACACAAAUCCCGUUACGUCAGGUUCAGAUGAUGUUUGAAGGAUUACCACACAUUGAAGCAUCGUUAAACAAUUUUACAUGGGUUUUUACGACAUCACCUUCACAUGUCGUUAAGUUGUUUAAUAUAAAGAACAAUUUUGAUAUCUGCAUUGCUAACGAUU